GGCGUGAGCCACCGCGCCUGGCCGACCACAACAAUUUGUAAACACCUCUACAGUUAGGACUAGGUCUGAUUUCAAAGUCUGUGUUUUUAAUCUCUGUGCUGCAAAUCACUCCCUCUGUGUUGCCCAACAGAGAUGGGGCUCUGGGCUGGUGGCUCCCAUUGAACCUACGGAAACCCUGAAGUCUGGAGGGACGUAGGGUGAGAAAGAUGAGCUGAGAAAGCGAAGUCCCUGAGACCCCUCAGCUUUGAGGAGCAGCCCAAGAACAGGAUUCUAGGCAGGCUUUUCUGAUUCAGGGCUGCAUCUGAGGACACCACCAGCAGCUGGACUCUUCCAAGCUGGAACAGGAACACCUAAAAGAUUUACAGGGGACGCACGCUAAGAACAGGCAGGAUGAACAGGCAGAAUGUGGUCUAUCCAUACAACGGAAUAUUAUCCAGCCAUAAAAAAGAAUGGAGCCCUGACACACGCUACAGCAUGGCUGAACCUUGAAAACAUUAUGCCGAGUGAGAAAAGCCAGACACAAAAGACCACAUUUCAUAUGAGUCCAUUUCUGUGCAAUGUCCAGAGUAAGCAAAUCCUUAGAUUUGCAUAGAAAACAAAGAAGUAGUUGCCAGGGACUACGGUAAGGGAGAAUGGAGAGUGACAGCUGGAGGGUACUGGGUUUCUUUCUGGGGUGAUGGUUGCACAACCUUGUGAAUGUACUGGAUUGCACACUUUUAAAGUGUAGAUUUUAUGAUGUGUGAAUUAUAUCUCAAUUAAAAAGAAGACAUGGUAGACAGCUCCACAGCCUGAAGCCUCGACCCCAGGCCCCACAGCCAGUGAGUGACCCAGCGCGCAGGGCAGGAAUCGUAGCUGCUUCUGACUGAGGUCAGGGCAGUGGAAGCAGAGUGGUCAGUUGGUGGCCCGGCACCCUUGUCCUGCUGCUGCCCCCAGAAACUGUGUCCCCAGGUUCCCGAGACACUUGUCUUCUCACUGCUCAGAACCAGUGCACUUCUGAAGCCUCGCUGUAGAUUCCACCCAGGAUCAACGGGCUGAGCCAGUGCAGAGCACUCCUGUGAACCCCGCCAGCUAAGGCCCCGCAAAUAUACUGCAGCUCAGAAGCUGGACAGGAAGGGGUGGUGGUUCAGCUAUAGCCACGGGGACUCUGAGGCCAGAAGUGUGAGAGAAAGCUCUCCAAAUGUCACUCCUGGCUCCAGAAGCUUGAUGAUGGACCAGAUAAGGGCAGAGCCACCCCAAGAACUGACCUUGGUCCUGGGGGUGACUUGGGGCUUAGCAGGACUCCAUGAACAAACCAGGGCGGUGGAAUUUGUACCAAGCUAAAACCAAACGAUGAGUUUACACCCGGCUCUGUCAUUUUCCAGCCCCGUGGCCCUGGAUAUGUGAUUUAAGUUCUCCAAGCCUAUUUCUACCACCGGAAAUGGGAGACUUGCCCUGCUUCCCUCAUGACUGUCGAAGAGGAAACAUGUAUGUGAAAGCAUUCUGUUUUCUGGAAAGGAUCUUAUAAAAGGAAGAUGAAAUUAUCAGUCAAAUCUUGAAAUCUCCCCAUAAGCUCUUUGGGUCCAAGUACUAGGGCCUGGAAUGACCACAGAGGCCCACAGGGAUUUGAGGGAAGAAAAGGCCUAUUUUCCUGACUUAGCACUUGCUGAGGCUGUGGUCGCAGGACACAAUGUCCUGGAAAGGGAGGAUAAUUUCUCCAAAGGGCUGUUUAUUAAUAAAAUUGUUGUCCUAGAGAAGGGUGGCCCAAAGCAGAAUAACUUCCCUUUCUCCCCUCAUUCACAGCCCGUGUUUCUUCCACGGCCCUUCCUGCUGUCUUGUUUGUUUGCUUGUUUUAGAGACAGGGUCUCACUGCAUCCCCCAGGCUGCCGCGCACUGGCACAGUCAGAGCUCCCUGGAACCUCCAGGUCCUGGGGCUCAAGUGAUGCUCCUACUCAGCCUCCCGGGUAGCUGGGACUACAGAUGCCACCACCGCGCCCAGCCUGCUGCUGUUCUUGUGACAUAUCCUCAGGUUCAGAGUCUCUUCUCAGCCAUGUCCGGUCUGCUAACGGGCCCGUCAAAGGCAGUCUUCAUUUCCGCUGAGGUGUUUUUGAUCUCUAGCCUUUCUCUGUGGUUCUCUCUUAGGAUUUCCACCCCUCUGCUGACACCGCCCAUCUACUCUUACACGCUGUCCACUUCAGCCGUUAGAGCCUCAGCAGGGUGCCUUGUAAUUUUUUGAGAGCUGGACGCGACGUGCCGGUGAAAGGAACUGCUGCACGAAGGCCUUUAGCGGUGCCGCGGCGAGGCGUGGGGGAGGGGAGGUGUUCUGCAGUCCUGUGAGUAGGUCUCAGCCUUCUGUUGGGCCUGCGCCCCAAAACUGGGAAUGUCACACGUUUCUGAUUUUUUCUCCCCUCCUUAGGAGGGACAGGAUGGCCAGAGAGGGCUGGCGUCAGGUAUCUCCCUUCCCCAGGUUGGCCAGGCUCCACUAAGACCCCCCCAGGUCAGGCUGCAGUUAACCAGUCUCUCCCGAGAGCAGGGUCCCCAGGAGCAGAGAGUGCUGUGGCCUGUUUCAGCGUGGUUCCUUCCUCCCGCACUUCUGUGAGAACAUGGUGGGGCUCCUGUAGGCAAAGCUCACACAGCGGUGGCGGCCCCAGUGACUGAGUGCCCGUGGGGUUUUGAACUAUCAGACGUGUCCACACUGAGCCCCAGCAAUUACAGCUCAGGUUGUCCUUCCCCAGCACCGUGUCCUUGGAGGUUUCUGCUCUGGUAAGUUGUCGAUCUCUGUGUC
Non-coding RNA from Microcebus murinus (gray mouse lemur), 2761 nucleotides. The record is from RefSeq and is a predicted model, not a curated record. NCBI's taxonomy places the organism in Eukaryota, Metazoa, Chordata, Mammalia, Primates, Cheirogaleidae.